RNAcentral lists this ribosomal RNA (506 nucleotides) under uncultured bacterium. RNAcentral's name for it is "partial 16S ribosomal RNA". It matches the Rfam family "Bacterial small subunit ribosomal RNA", at positions 28 to 523 of the family's 1533-position model. The record is from RNAcentral.
GAUGAACGCUAGCUUCAGGCUUAACACAUGCAAGUCGAGGGGUAACGAGAGGGAAGCUUGCUUUCCUUGUCGACGACCGGCGCACGGGUGAGUAACGCGUAUCCAACCUGCCCCCAACUAAGGAAUAGCCUUGCGAAAGUAAGACUAAUACCUUAUAAUUUCCUCAGAUGACAUCUGACGAGGAAUAAAGAUUUAUCGGUUGUGGAUGGGGAUGCGUCUGAUUAGCUUGUUGGCGGGGUAACGGCCCACAAAGGCAACGAUCAGUAGGGGUUCUGAGAGGAAGGGCCCCCACAUUGGAACUGAGACACGUGCCAAACUCCUACGGGAGGAAGCAGUGAGGAAUAUUGGUCAAUGGGCGGAAGCCUGAACCAGCCAAGUAGCGUACAGGAUGACGGCCCUAUGGGUUGUAAACUGCUUUUAUACAGGAAUAAAGUUAGCCACGUGUGGUUAUUUGUAGGUACUGUAUGAAUAAGGACCGGCUAAUUCCGUGCCAGCCGCCGCGGUAA